UUUUUUUCAAAGAACUAAGCAAAAGGCACUCAUAAAGCACUUCGAUCACAUAAACUCCAACUCCAUCUAAGGAAUCCAAUAUAUUCAUGGUGAUAGCCGACCUCUUAAUCUCAAGUUCACGCGCCCCACGCACAGUAAGCCAAAGCCUGAGACAUCAGGGCUUGAAGGCGGAGAAAGAUUUGUUCCCAUUGGCCCAAACGGGUAGUUGGGAGCCUGGGUUCCCUCAAAGCCGCCUCCGGGAGACCAGAAGGCAGCGGGGUUUUAUGGAGCUAGGGGCUUGGCGGGAGGAGCUUCCGGCAAACACAGGGGUCACUUCCCAUAAGCCCCUGGGAAAGCUGACUCCCGGGGCAAGGCUGCUGAGGGCCGGCCAGCGGGAUGAACCUCCCUGAGGGCGUUCUCUUUCUUCCGCAAAAGGAGCUCACAAAUCCUCAAGACACCGAGUCACCCCUCAAGUUAACAGGAAAAAACAGCAAAUUGCUUUACUAUCUGCAGUACCCCUCAGGCACCCGGCUUCAAUGGCACAACCUGAAGAUUCCGAGCUAAACUGAUUUUCCUCAAGUUAAGAAUGCAUCAGGGGCCGCCCGGGCCGAGUGGUUGAGUUCCAGCGCUCCAAUGCAGUGGCCAAGGGCGUCACGGGUUCGGAUCCUGGGCGCCGACAUGACGCUGAUCGUCAGGCCACGGUGAGGCGGCGUCCCACAUGCCUCAACUAGAAGGACCUGCAACUAAGAUAGACAACUAUGUACUGGGGGGAUUUGGGGAGAAAAAGGAAAAGAAAAAAAAGAAUGCAUCAAACCAAGUUUGAAUUUUUACCCCCCAGUUAUUUGCAACAUGACCAAUUCUCAUGGAUGAGGGAGGCAAAGGCCCUUCAGGGCAAGACGUGGUGAGAACUUAUCAAACCUACUGUCCUCAGAGAGCACAGUACAGGGAUUUUCCUCGUGAGGGCCCCCGGGUCCCUCACCGCGAAAGCAGCGAGGAAGGAGCGAGAGGUGGCUACACGGCGACGACGCAGAAAGACGCGGCGGGAAGGAAGAAAAAACAGAAAACCAAAGGGGGAAAAAAUGGAGCCUACUGAGGAGACGCAGGGGCGGCUUCAGCUCCAGCGGCGGCGACGGCGACAGCACUGGCGGGGGGCUGCGCAGCACCAUGGGGCCUAGAAGGGCCUAGAAGAGGCGCGGGGCGGCGCUCCCCGGGUCGGGAGAAGCGCAGGGCGCGGAGGAGCCGCGGCGUGUUGGCGUGCUCCUGCCCGGCGCGGGGACGGGAGAGUGGGCCUGGAUCCCCUCGAUAGGGGCCCGCAGGACGCGCGACAGGCCCUCGGCGGAGCGGGCCUCCCCACGACGCGCUCGCACGAUGUCGCAGGAACCCAGGAAGUCGACGCGACUGUCGGCAUCGCUGGUUUCGGAGUCGCUGAAGAAGUGCCGGAAGUCGCCGCCGCCGUGCUUCCUCAGGCCGUCGGCGGGCGGCCCCGCGGGCUCCCUGUUCCCGAGGACACCAGCUGGUCUUGGACGGCGCGGCACGUGCAGUGGCCGCCAGCUGGAUCUCCUCCAUCUCUCGAGUCGUGGCCUCCAGGAUGGCGGCAAGCUUCUUUCCCUGGUCACGGCGAAGCUGGGCCCGGAUCCUCUCACGCCGCCCCUUCUUUCGCGCCUUCUUUGUGCCCUUGAGAGGCGGGGCGGCUGGGCCUCGAGAUCCAUCUUGGCAAGAUCUUCAGUGACAGAAUCGAGGUUGCUGUCAUCAGGAAAAUUCUUUUGGAGCUUCUCUAGUUCCUGCUGGUGCCUGGGCUCCGUUGUGGCCUCAAGACUGGCCACGUCGAGGAGCAGCUGCUUCCUUCCUUUCCGGUUGCUCCUGGGUCGGGCCUACAGCUCUUUCUUCUUGAGGUGGUGGCGUCGUACCAUCCGCUGGUGCUCCUUCUGCCGAUCUUUCCUGAUAUUUAACGGCAGGCCAGAAUGGAAGUUUGGCGGCAGCUAAAGUACCGGCUGCUGUUCAGACUAACGGCGCAAACCGCGAUCAGGCCACGGGUCCUCAGCCUCCCCUGGCCGCUGCAGUCUGUAAAGCGUGACUUUUGCAAUGGGACAGGAUCCUUCAGGAGGUCCUGAGCCACUGGAAUACUCAGAGCCUGGGGACCUGUGUGACAGGAUGGAGGAGGGAUUUCUACGUUGAGCCGGAGGGUGGACGGUUUCUUUCUAGGGCCCUUAUGUCUCUGAGGGCGUGUGGCUACUGGGACCACCUUAGACUCUGCCCCAGGGGGGCUGUUAUUGGCCAUCUAGGGCUCCUCGGGUGUCACCUUUGGGGCUGAUGUCUGCUUCAUGUCAGGUCUACCCCCAGCACUUUGCCACAGACCUGAUCCGCGUUACUCCCAGAAAGGGCCCAACUUCAGCUCAGAGAAUUCCUACAGUCUGGCCCCUUCAGAUCACCCCCUUUCUCUUUGCCCCACUUGCUUGGCUCCCAGUCUUGGUUCCCCCUUCCCAUUUUGCCCCUUUUGGAUUUGCUGACCCUAGCAUGGGCCCACACAUCCACAGGACCCUGCUUCUGCUACAGGACUCUCAGCCGCCGGCCCUGCAGCCCUGGGCACAAGACACUGCGCUUCCUCUCCUAGUCAGAUGUCUAAGACUUCACUGCCCAUCCCUGUCCUGGAGAAAAGCUGCCCACAAGGACUCCCCAAAGUCACUCAUGAAACAUAAAAUAUUGUCAUAGG
Molecule: long non-coding RNA, 2689 nt
Organism: Equus asinus (donkey)
Lineage: Eukaryota; Metazoa; Chordata; Mammalia; Perissodactyla; Equidae
Source: Ensembl